ACUUCAACAGGGGUGAAAUCUGCAUAUACCAUGAAUUUUUUGAUUAAAGUACCUUUUAGGUGGUCAAAUGACUAGGAUUAGAUACCCUAUUAGUCCACUCUUAAUUAACCUGGGUAGUAGAAUCGAAACCUAAAGAAUCUGGCGGUUUCUAAACCUACUAGAGGAACCUGCCCCAUAAACGACAAUCCACGAAAAAAUUCACCCGGGCUAGUUAUGCAGCUUAUAUACCGUCGUUUAGAGGACUAAAUAAAUAGAUCCUCUUAAAAGCUUAGGCUAAUAAAUCAGAUCAAGGUGUAGCUCAUGCCCGGGAGAGGGUGGGUUACAAUGAAAAUUCAUACGGAGCUUUUAUUUUAUGAUAGAAAAGAAGGUGGAUUUAGAAGUAAGACUUAAUAUACUGAAAAAGGCUCUCAGAAAUGUACACAUCGCCCGUCGCUCUCUUGUCCGAAGAGAUAAGUCGUAACAAAGUAGGUGGACCGGAAGGUCUAUCUCGAAAGA
RNAcentral lists this ribosomal RNA (495 nucleotides) under Artemia parthenogenetic lineage. RNAcentral describes it as "Artemia parthenogenetica partial 12S ribosomal RNA". The record is from RNAcentral. Lineage: Eukaryota; Metazoa; Arthropoda; Branchiopoda; Anostraca; Artemiidae.